RNAcentral lists this ribosomal RNA (128 nucleotides) under Jaculus jaculus (lesser Egyptian jerboa). Lineage: Eukaryota; Metazoa; Chordata; Mammalia; Rodentia; Dipodidae. The record is from RNAcentral.
AGUACCACCCUGAACGCGCCUGAUCUCGUCUGAUCUCGGAAGCUAAGCAGGGUCGGGCCUGGUUAGUACUUGGUUGGGCUUGUUUUAAGUCUACUUCAGUGAUGGGUUCUUAGGAGCUUCUGGAUCUC